This 566-nucleotide ribosomal RNA is filed under the name uncultured archaeon. RNAcentral's name for it is "bacterial SSU rRNA". It matches the Rfam family "Archaeal small subunit ribosomal RNA", at positions 313 to 879 of the family's 1478-position model. The record is from RNAcentral.
GCGAUUCGCCCUUCGGGGCGCAGCAGGCGCGAAAACUUUACAAUGCGGGAAACCGUGAUAAGGGGACACCGAGUGCCAGCAUCAUAUGCUGGCUGUCCGGGUGUGUAAAAUACACCCGUUAGCAAGGGCCGGGCAAGACCGGUGCCAGCCGCCGCGGUAACACCGGCGGCCCGAGUGGUGAUCGUGAUUAUUGGGUCUAAAGGGUCCGUAGCCGGUUUGGUCAGUCCUCCGGGAAAUCUGACGGCUUAACCGUUAGGCUUUCGGGGGAUACUGCCAGGCUUGGAACCGGGAGAGGUAAGGGGUACUACAGGGGUAGGAGUGAAAUCUUGUAAUCCCUGUGAGACCACCUGUGGCGAAGGCGUCUUACCAGAACGGGUUCGACGGUGAGGGACGAAAGCUGGGGGCACGAACCGGAUUAGAUACCCGGGUAGUCCCAGCCGUAAACGAUGCUCGCUAGGUGUCAGGCAUGGCGCGACCGUGUCUGGUGCCGCAGGGAAGCCGUGAAGCGAGCCACCUGGGAAGUACGGCCGCAAGGCUGAAACUUAAAGGAAUUGGCGGGGGAGCAC